This 431-nucleotide ribosomal RNA is filed under the name uncultured Elusimicrobium sp. Its description in RNAcentral is "bacterial SSU rRNA". It matches the Rfam family "Bacterial small subunit ribosomal RNA", at positions 958 to 1385 of the family's 1533-position model. Lineage: Bacteria; Pseudomonadati; Elusimicrobiota; Elusimicrobia; Elusimicrobiales; Elusimicrobiaceae. The record is from RNAcentral.
AACGCGAAGAACCUUACCUGGGCUUGAACUACUCGUGGUAGUUCGCUGGAAACAGUGGACGACCCGCAAGGGAGCGAGCAGAGGUGCUGCAUGGUUGUCGUCAGCUCGUGUCGUGAGAUGUUGGGUUAAGUCCCGCAACGAGCGCAACCCCUAUCCAAUGUUGCUACUCCCGCAAGGGAGGCACUCUUUGGAAACUGCCUUCGAUAAGAAGGAGGAAGGUGGGGACGACGUCAAAUCCUCAUGGCCCUUAUGUCCAGGGCUACACACGUGUUACAAUGGCCGGUACAAUGGGAAGCAAUACCGCAAGGUGGAGCCAAACCCCUAAAGCCGGCCCCAGUUCAGAUUGUGGGCUGCAACCCGCCCACAUGAAGGCGGAAUCGCUAGUAAUCGCUGAUCAGCAGGCAGCGGUGAAUACGUUCCCGGGCCUUGUA